GGGAGUAGCUCAGUGGUAGAGCGCUUGCUUAGCAUGCAAGGCCCUGGGUUCAAUCCCCAGCAACCCCA
Molecule: non-coding RNA, 68 nt
Organism: Sciurus carolinensis (gray squirrel)
Lineage: Eukaryota; Metazoa; Chordata; Mammalia; Rodentia; Sciuridae
Source: the annotation of a RefSeq genome assembly